Long non-coding RNA from Aricia agestis (brown argus), 128 nucleotides. RefSeq lists it as uncharacterized. The transcript has 3 exons. NCBI's taxonomy places the organism in Eukaryota, Metazoa, Arthropoda, Insecta, Lepidoptera, Lycaenidae. The record is from RefSeq and is a predicted model, not a curated record.
AUUUGGAACCAAUUCGAUACGGCUUUUCCCAAUCCUGACAGCUAUACUAGCGCACGAUCGUGCUGCGGCUCAACUUGGAACUAAUCAGACUGGUAAAUCAAAAUCCAUCGUCAAUCAAAAUCGGAUCA